RNAcentral lists this ribosomal RNA (449 nucleotides) under uncultured bacterium. Its description in RNAcentral is "partial 16S ribosomal RNA". It matches the Rfam family "Bacterial small subunit ribosomal RNA", at positions 29 to 523 of the family's 1533-position model. The record is from RNAcentral.
AGCGAACGCUGGCGGUAGGCCUAACACAUGCAAGUCGAACGAACUCUUCGGAGUUAGUGGCGGACGGGUGAGUAACACGUGGGAACGUGCCUUUAGGUUCGGAAUAACUCAGGGAAACUUGUGCUAAUACCGAAUGUGCCCUUCGGGGGAAAGAUUUAUCGCCUUUAGAGCGGCCCGCGUCUGAUUAGCUAGUUGGUGAGGUAAAGGCUCACCAAGGCGACGAUCAGUAGCUGGUCUGAGAGGAUGAUCAGCCACAUUGGGACUGAGACACGGCCCAUACUCCUACGGGAGGCAGCAGUGGGGAAUCUUGCGCAAUGGGCGAAAGCCUGACGCAGCCAUGCCGCGUGAAUGAUGGAGGUCUUAGGAUUGUAAAAUUCUUUCACCGGGGACGAUAAUGACGGUACCCGGAGAAGAAGCCCCGGCUAACUUCGUGCCAGCAGCCGCGGUAA